GACGUAGGGACCGAGCGUUGUCCGGAAUCAUUGGGCGUAAAGAGCGUGUAGGCGGCCACUUAAGUCCUGCGUGAAAUCUUGCGGCUCAACCGCAAGCGGUCGUGGGAAACUGGGUGGCUAGAGUGCGGGAGAGGAGAGUGGAAUUCCUGGUGUAGCGGUGGAAUGCGCAGAUAUCAGGAAGAACACCCGUGGCGAAGGCGGCUCUCUGGAACGCAACUGACGCUGAGACGCGAAAGCGUGGGGGAGCAAACAGG
Molecule: ribosomal RNA, 254 nt
Filed under: uncultured bacterium
Lineage: Bacteria
Description: partial 16S ribosomal RNA
Rfam family: Bacterial small subunit ribosomal RNA
Source: RNAcentral